RNAcentral lists this small nuclear RNA (101 nucleotides) under Octodon degus (degu). Lineage: Eukaryota; Metazoa; Chordata; Mammalia; Rodentia; Octodontidae. The record is from RNAcentral.
UUUGCUGGCUGUGGCAACACACCACCAAAAUCUGAAGGAUACAAAGAUUAGCAUGGCUGGAGAAGGAUCACACACAGCUUUGGGAAACAUUCCAUAGAUUU